RNAcentral lists this long non-coding RNA (2761 nucleotides) under Physcomitrium patens. RNAcentral describes it as "long non-coding RNA (PPAT_LNC012681)". The record is from RNAcentral. Lineage: Eukaryota; Viridiplantae; Streptophyta; Bryopsida; Funariales; Funariaceae.
AUUUAGUAGAGUAAUUACCCUAGUUGAGUGCAAUCCGUUGUAAACUCACCCAAUGCCAUACGUGAGUUCAACUCAUCCCUUGUGAGUAGUUCUUCAAUUUUCCAAUGAAGGUCGCACUUGAAUAGUAGUUAGAGAAUCAAUUUUGAAGUUCACAUGCUAUACUAAUCUUCACUGAAACAACAAGCUCAAUCCAAGCCAAGCUUCACAAAAGAAUUUUGAGCUACCACUAGUCCAAAUUCAGCGACUUGGAUAAGUGAAUACGUCACUCCAUUAAAAUUCAGACCCGAGAAUCAAUCGUUGUUGGAUGAAAAGUAACGCUCUAAUGCAUACACUCCAUAACAGAUUCAAGAGCCGGUUCUGUACAGGCCUGGAUCCAUGUAGCCUACACCAUUUACUGUACAUCAUCUUCAAUUGCGUUCUCCGAACUCAACAACGACGGCAAUCUCCGGCCAUACAGCGUUGCCAUCACAUCCUCCUAAGAUUGGCUAUCCAGACGGCUAUUUCUUCAACAAGAAAUUUUCUUUAGGUUUUCCUGUGAGAGGUUCAAGGAUAUUCUAAACCAGGGUUUCAUGUUCCUGCGAUACUUGAGCUCUACAAGAUAAGGUCCCUAGAAAUCUGAAGAAUGCACACCAGAAACAUCGCGUUCAAUUUCUAGUUCGGAGCUGCUCUUUUGUCGUACGUAUCUCCUGGUUUUUGUCUCCUCCAUCGCAAGGGUAUCCGGAGCUAUACAUGUUUCAUCUCCCCCAUAAACCAUGACGAUUUAGUAUUCUAAACAUCUGAAGCUUGUCCUGAAAAAGUAAUACUGAUUCAAGUCUAUUACGUAGGAGCUGGGUCUGUCAAAAGCCUUCGAAGCAUUAUUUGUCGAACACGCCUGGAGAACGGAGCCACCCGCACUACCCUUGCGAGGAACCAUACAACCAAUAUGGUACACUCCUCAAUCAGAUGCACGACCACUGCCACGAGUAUCAUCUUGACAGAGUUCAAACCCCAGUGGCAACUCCUACUGAAAAGGCUCGAUUAUAGAUGCCAUGUCCGAAGCUCACAACUGUAUAACAGUGAGAAAAGAAGGGCGGUCUAAAAUCGAACAUCUGAAAUCAGUAACCCGAGUUCAAGCUUCCGAAGUACUAAAGUAUAUAGAUUCACAUAAUUGAUUCGCUUCACGUUUGAGAAGAAAACGAAAAAAGAAAAACGCAUUCAUGGACUGGAUAAGUGAAUCAACACACAGAGGACAAGAACCUUCCACAUGCUACUAGCACACGCCGGUUAUUAUGUGUAGUGUCCAUGCAUUCGAUGUUCGUUAUCCACGUUAUCAGAAACUCCGAUUCCAUCCAUGCUUGCUUUCCAUGAUUUGCUACGCCACAAACAAAGAAAGGAAAAAUUAGAUUCAGACUGCUGCAAUGAUUCUUUCAGCCAUUAUUGUCGACUAAUUGCAAGAGAAGAGCCACAAGACAUGAUGCAGGGAAGAAUACGAUUGUACUACCACUAGAGGACAACUAUAGUAGUGACUCGUUACAGCGGUAAGGAGAUGAGUAUUGAAGAUGAGUUCCCGAGGGUUACAAAUUUCAACAGCAAAUUAUAAGAUACAAUUAUAGUUGCCUUGUCGCGAAGAAAUCAAAGUAAGAUGAUAAACCCUAAUUCAAAAAAACGGAACUGCAAGAUUCAUGUGUGCACUCUGAACCUUACGCAAGCCACAUCCUUUGAACUAGUCGUCUCUGUUUGGACACCAAAUAAUGGUGAUUACCAACUUUCAUCAUACAUCAUCUACUGAGACAGGACAUGACCGGUUCUGAGAGACCAACAUGAUUGCCACCGUCAUAUUUCUAUAUCUCCCAAAUGAACAGCGACUGCAGCGAUUCAAAUAUAUCUACACAUGAUGAAAGAGAAGAAACAAACAGACAAAACGAAAGACGAUUUCACACCCCAGCCAGAUUAACCCAUUCAUUGCUCAAUCCAUUUCCAUCAAAAGGCCACACUAUCCCAAACUCAGAAUGACUCUACUUCACUAGUCAACCACAAGCACACGGCCGUGACUGCGUCACCACACGGGCCGGUAUUUCUCAACGGCAUUCGCAUCGUGGACCAAAAACACGAUGAACAGUGACCAGGCAAUCUCAACUCACCCAAAUCAUGACAAGAUCUCUUCAUAUUCCACCAAACCGAGGGUAAACGGAAGUAAUUCGACCCCACCAUCACCAGUAAUUAAGACAAUCCAGGAGGAGAAAUUAAAGCAGACGAUGAGCGAGCUGUAGCGUGAACAACAGCCAUCUGGGGGGGGGGGGGGGUCGCUACCGCAAGUGCUGCAAGAGGGGAUACACGGCAGAAACGAAGUGGCUAUUGCAACAUGGUGUCCAAGGGCCUGGGAUCGUGAAAGUUCCUAAAACACAUGGCAGGGUUAGUCCCUGAGCAAUAUCGUGAAACAGCGCAGCGCUGUUUGUGGCCCACUUGUCGGACAACCCUGGGUGAUUGACCGUGUCAGAGGCAGCAACGCCUUAUGCCAUGCUUCCUCCCUCGCCCACUCCGUCCCUCCCUCCCUCUCGCUGUGAGUAAACCCAAGCACCCACCCGUCCACUCACCCGGUGCUGUAAUUGCGCACCCUCUCCGUUGAGAUCACGGACACCGAGCAACGCAGUCCCCACGGCUCCUCCUCACGCGCGGGCGCGCGCACACACACGGCGUCCCUAGUGGGCACCCCUUGUGGGGACUGCGAGGGUGCAGAUGAAUGAAUCUAUCCAUCCAUUUCGACGAACAGUGGUGUUCUUCU